Xyrauchen texanus (razorback sucker) is the source of this 150-nucleotide long non-coding RNA. RefSeq lists it as uncharacterized. The record is from RefSeq and is a predicted model, not a curated record. NCBI's taxonomy places the organism in Eukaryota, Metazoa, Chordata, Actinopteri, Cypriniformes, Catostomidae. The transcript is spliced from 3 exons.
GGAUGCGUGUGGAGGUAUGGAUGCGUGUGGCGUGUUGAGGUAUGGAUGCGUGUGGCAUGUUGAGGUAUGGAUGCGUGUGGAGGUAUGGAUGCGUGUGGCGUGUUGAGGUAUGGAUGUGUGUGGCAUGUUGAGGUAUGGAUGUGUGUGGAG